UGGUGGGAGGUGUGGUUACCUGGGAUGGACACUAAUCAUUUUACAGAUAACAGAUAUUUUCCCUCUGACUGAAAACUCAAUAAUCUGGAAUGAUUCAAAUAUCAGAUUGAUACGACGGUCUCUGAUUCUGGCGGAUAUCUCCUCAAUCCCGAGUGUGGACCUGAUGUUGGACCAGCUUCAGUGGCGUUCUUCUCUCUUCAGAACGUCCCGUCGGUUCUGAGGAACAGCUGGAGGAAGAGCCCCAAAACCGUGAAGAGGGGGAAGAGGAAGAGCGUGGAGGUGGAGGACCUGGUCUUCAGCGAGAACAAGAGGAACAGGGGGAGGGGCGGGGCUCUGAGCAGCAGACAGGUGAGCGCUCUCAGGUGCGCCGUCCCGCCGGCCGCAGCUUUCCUUUACCUCCUUCUUCUUCUGUGGUUUCAGGAGCAGAAAGCGUCUGCGGUGAUCUUCGACUCUCCCUCCAAAGCCAAAGGUCCGGUGGAGACGGGAACCACAAAACCCCGUCGAGGGCGCAGAAAGCUUUUAAAGACGGGGGUGUCGACGCCGCUGCUCGAUUCCCCUCAAACGGCGUUGGAAGGAGCCGGCGAAGACAAGGAAAGCGAUCACCUGAUCAUCAAGAGGAAGCUGCGCUCUAAAACCGGCAGGAAGUGAUGUCAUCGACCUCGAAAACAUGUACAGAUUUUAUGUCGUCUCAGGAUCAAUAAAGAACAGGAUAAUGUCACAAUCAGAUUCCUCAUUUUCAGGACGUAGACGGGACCGGCCGUCUGUCGUCACUAGAGUUUCAAUAAAGUUAUGAAAAUGGGAUAAACAAGGCGAUUUAUCUUGACGCAUAUCAUGAUAUAUCCCAAGAAUACCAG
This 854-nucleotide long non-coding RNA is filed under the name Oryzias javanicus (javanese ricefish). RNAcentral's name for it is "lncRNA (ENSOJAG00000015201.1)". The record is from RNAcentral. Lineage: Eukaryota; Metazoa; Chordata; Actinopteri; Beloniformes; Adrianichthyidae.